Molecule: ribosomal RNA, 383 nt
Filed under: uncultured organism
Description: bacterial SSU rRNA
Rfam family: Bacterial small subunit ribosomal RNA
Source: RNAcentral
CGGGGGGAGCAAGCGUUGUUCGGAUUUACUGGGCGUAAAGGGCGCGUAGGCGGCCACCGCAAGUCGACUGUGAAAUCUCCGGGCUUAACCCGGAAAGGUCAGCCGAUACUGCGGGGCUAGAGUGCAGAAGGGGGCAACUGGAAUUCUCGGUGUAGCGGUGAAAUGCGUAGAUAUCGAGAGGAACACCUGCGGCGAAGGCGGGUUGCUGGGCUGACACUGACGCUGAGGCGCGAAAGCUAGGGGAGGCGAACGGGAUUAGAUACCCCGGUACGUCCUAGCCUUAAACGAUGAAUGCUUGGUGUCUGGGGUUUUAGUUAGUCCCCGGGUCGGCCGUCGCUAACGCUUUAAGUCAUUCCGCCUGGGGAGGUACGGUCGCAAGACUG